This 199-nucleotide long non-coding RNA is filed under the name Elaeis guineensis (African oil palm). RNAcentral's name for it is "long non-coding RNA (EGUI_LNC035235)". Lineage: Eukaryota; Viridiplantae; Streptophyta; Magnoliopsida; Arecales; Arecaceae. The record is from RNAcentral.
CUGGGAGAGGUCGCAGCAUGUGAUGCGCCUUCCAGGCGUAGCCACCGACCAUGAUCUCUAACCCGCCACUGUACGUAGCAUUUCCAUUGAGCGAGUUCUCCGCUUGCUUGAGGGUCACUAUGUUCGGAGUCUCGCCACGCUUCAUGUGCCAAUUCUGGUGAUCGUCGGUCCCCACGUUUUCCUCGACGAACUCAGUACA